Molecule: ribosomal RNA, 494 nt
Filed under: uncultured bacterium
Lineage: Bacteria
Description: partial 16S ribosomal RNA
Rfam family: Bacterial small subunit ribosomal RNA
Source: RNAcentral
GACGAACGCUGGCGGCGUGCUUAACACAUGCAAGUCGAACGGUGAAGCGCCUUCCUUUUUGGUGGGUGUGGAUGAGUGGCGAACGGGUGAGUAACACGUGAGUAACCUGCCCCCUUCUUCUGGAUAACCGCAUGAAAGUGUGGCUAAUACGGGAUAUUCUGGGUCUGUCGCAUGAUGGGUCUGGGAAAGAUAUUGUUUCGGUGGGGGAUGGGCUCGCGGCCUAUCAGCUUGUUGGUGGGGUGAUGGCCUACCAAGGCGGUGACGGGUAGCCGGCCUGAGAGGGUGGACGGUCACACUGGGACUGAGACACGGCCCGGACUCCUACGGGAGGCAGCAGUGGGGAAUAUUGCACGAUGGGCGCAAGCCUGAUGCAGCGACGCCGCGUGAGGGAUGGAGGCCUUCGGGUUGUGAACCUCUUUCGCCAGUGAAGCAGGCCUGCCUCGUUUGUGGGUGGGUUGACGGUAGCUGGAUAAGAAGCGCCGGCUAACUACGUG